RNAcentral lists this ribosomal RNA (253 nucleotides) under uncultured bacterium. RNAcentral's name for it is "partial 16S ribosomal RNA". It matches the Rfam family "Bacterial small subunit ribosomal RNA", at positions 524 to 776 of the family's 1533-position model. The record is from RNAcentral.
UACAGAGGCCUCGAGCGUUGUUCGGAAUUACUGGGCGUAAAGGGAAUGUAGGUGGUGAUGUAAGUCAGAUGUGAAAGCCCUGGGCUUAACCUGGGAAGUGCAUUUGAUACUGCGUUGCUGGAGUGCGAGAGAGGAAAGCGGAAUUCCAGGUGUAGGAGUGAAAUCCGUAGAUAUCUGGAGGAAUACCGAUGGUGAAGACAGCUUUCUGGCUCGUAACUGACACUGAGAUUCGAAAGCAUGGGUAGCAAACAGG